GGCUCAUGUUCGUAGCUCAGUUGAUUAGAGCACUGCACCAGCAUCGCAGAGGUCAAGGGUUCGAAUCCCGUUGAGUCA
RNAcentral lists this transfer RNA (78 nucleotides) under Acropora cervicornis. RNAcentral's name for it is "tRNA-Ala". The stretch from base 10 to 74 matches the Rfam family "tRNA", at positions 5 to 66 of the family's 71-position model. From Rfam's summary of the family: Transfer RNA (tRNA) molecules are approximately 80 nucleotides in length. Their secondary structure includes four short double-helical elements and three loops (D, anti-codon, and T loops). The record is from RNAcentral. Lineage: Eukaryota; Metazoa; Cnidaria; Anthozoa; Scleractinia; Acroporidae.